GGUCCUAUAGCUCAGUUGGUUAGAGCACCUGACUCAUAAUCAGGUGGUCCCAGGUUCGAGUCCUGGUGGGACCACCA
Molecule: transfer RNA, 77 nt
Filed under: Crocinitomicaceae bacterium
Lineage: Bacteria; Pseudomonadati; Bacteroidota; Flavobacteriia; Flavobacteriales; Crocinitomicaceae
Description: tRNA-Met
Rfam family: tRNA
About the family: Transfer RNA (tRNA) molecules are approximately 80 nucleotides in length. Their secondary structure includes four short double-helical elements and three loops (D, anti-codon, and T loops).
Source: RNAcentral